CCAGACUCCUACGGGAGGCAGCAGUGGGGGAUAUUGCACAAUGGGGGAAACCCUGAUGCAGCGACGCCGCGUGGGCGAAGAAGUAUUUCGGUAUGUAAAGCCCUAUCAGCAGGGAAGAAGAAAUGACGGUACCUGAGUAAGAAGCACCGGCUAAAUACGUGCCAGCAGCCGCGGUAAUACGUAUGGUGCAAGCGUUAUCCGGAUUUACUGGGUGUAAAGGGAGCGUAGACGGCAGUGCAAGUCUGGAGUGAAAGGCGGGGGCUCAACCCCCGGACUGCUCUGGAAACUGUACGGCUGGAGUGCAGGAGAGGUAAGUGGAAUUCCUAGUGUAGCGGUGAAAUGCGUAGAUAUCAGGAGGAACACCGGUGGCGAAGGCGGCCUGCUGGACUGCAACUGACGUUGAGGCCCGAAAGCGUGGGGAGCAAACAGGAUUAGAUACCCGAGUAAA
Molecule: ribosomal RNA, 448 nt
Filed under: uncultured bacterium
Lineage: Bacteria
Description: bacterial SSU rRNA
Rfam family: Bacterial small subunit ribosomal RNA
Source: RNAcentral